This 120-nucleotide ribosomal RNA is filed under the name uncultured bacterium. Its description in RNAcentral is "partial 16S ribosomal RNA". It matches the Rfam family "Bacterial small subunit ribosomal RNA", at positions 215 to 334 of the family's 1533-position model. The record is from RNAcentral.
GCACUAUCAGAUGAGCCUGCGUUGGAUUAGCUUGUUGGUGGGGUAAAGGCCCACCAAGGCGACGAUCCAUAACUGGUCUGAGAGGAUGAUCAGUCACACCGGAACUGAGACACGGUCCGG